CAAGGAUGUACUUUUCACAUUUCAAUUAUAGAAAUUCUUAUCCUGGGAUGUUAUUCUCAUCUGCACAAGGUAUGUGACCUGAGGCAAGUCACCACAUCUCCCUGGGAUUCAUGCUAGAAUAGUAUCAAUUAGGAUAAUUGAGAAUCCAUCUCAGUGUCUGGUUGUUCCAGAAUUCAAAGCCUGAAGAGGAUAGUAAAAGACAAACACUACAUGGAUGCAGAAAGGUGAUGCCUCAACAUUGAAUUCCUAGAGAUCACUAUCACAUUGAGGUUUUGAUGCGUUCAAAGCCCACCUCUUAAUGAAGAUUAUGGCAAACAAAGAUCCAUAUUAAAAUUGGCUUAAAUAGGUAUGUACUUGCAGAGAGAUGGAAAGAUUGGCCUUUCAUCAAACUGAUCAGAAUGCUUUCAGCAUGUCGGCCAGUGAUUCAAAAGCAGGCAUUUUUUUUUGACUAAGCUACCAGACGAAUAGAUCUAGAGAGAGAUCCUCUCUCUUGCUGCAUUAAAACCACCAGGACAGGGGCGCUUAGGUGGUUCAGUUGGAUAAGCGUCGGACUCUUGAUUUUGGCUCAGGUCAUGAUCUCAGUCAGGGGCAUGAGAUCCAGCCCCACAUCAGACUCCCAGCUCAGCAUGGAGCCUGCUAAAGAGUCUCUCUCUCCUUCUCCUUCUCCCACUCCCCCAACACCUCCCCACUGUCUCUCCCUCUCGAAAAAGACAAACCCCCCUGGAGAAACUUUAAAAAUCAUUCCUGUUCUGAUUUCUGAUUUGCUAGAUAGACUGUCGGAGACAAGCAUGUAAAUAGCAGAAAGAGCAAAGGCAGUGCCCCUAUUGAGAGGCAGGUCUGGGAGAGACAGAAUGGCCUCAGCCUAGCCACAGGUAGCAAACAUUCCUGAGCUGGCGCACAUCCAUCCAUCCAGAUGCUGUGGGUAGAAACCAGGCCUAACAAUGGAAUCCCCUAUAGGAGGAAGAGGAAGAAAGGGCAGGCUCAGAAAAUUAGAUAAAAAUUGGAAUGGGCUUAAGUCAGACAAUGGGUGGCAUGGUUUCUCUGUUCCAGCUAAGCCCAGACUUUAGUGGGAAAGAUACGCCUCCCACCUAAG
This is a long non-coding RNA of Nyctereutes procyonoides (raccoon dog), 1093 nucleotides long. RefSeq lists it as uncharacterized. NCBI's taxonomy places the organism in Eukaryota, Metazoa, Chordata, Mammalia, Carnivora, Canidae. The transcript has 5 exons. The record is from RefSeq and is a predicted model, not a curated record.